This 253-nucleotide ribosomal RNA is filed under the name uncultured bacterium. Its description in RNAcentral is "partial 16S ribosomal RNA". It matches the Rfam family "Bacterial small subunit ribosomal RNA", at positions 524 to 776 of the family's 1533-position model. The record is from RNAcentral.
UACGGAGGAUGCAAGCGUUAUCCGGAAUGAUUGGGCGUAAAGCGUCCGCAGGUGGCUAUGUAAGUCUGCUGUUAAAGAGUGAGGCUCAACCUCAUAAGAGCAGUGGAAACUACAUGGCUAGAGUGCGUUCGGGGCAGAGGGAAUUCCUGGUGUAGCGGUGAAAUGCGCAGAUAUCAGGAAGAACACCCGUGGCGAAAGCGGCUCUCUGGGACGGUACUGACGCUGAGACGCGAAAGCGUGGGGAGCGAACAGG